Molecule: ribosomal RNA, 485 nt
Filed under: Veillonella parvula
Lineage: Bacteria; Bacillati; Bacillota; Negativicutes; Veillonellales; Veillonellaceae
Description: bacterial SSU rRNA
Rfam family: Bacterial small subunit ribosomal RNA
Source: RNAcentral
GACGAACGCUGGCGGCGUGCUUAACACAUGCAAGUCGAACGAAGAGCGAUGGAAGCUUGCUUCUAUCAAUCUUAGUGGCGAACGGGUGAGUAACGCGUAAUCAACCUGCCCUUCAGAGGGGGACAACAGUUGGAAACGACUGCUAAUACCGCAUACGAUCUAAUCUCGGCAUCGAGGAUAGAUGAAAGGUGGCCUCUACAUGUAAGCUAUCACUGAAGGAGGGGAUUGCGUCUGAUUAGCUAGUUGGAGGGGUAACGGCCCACCAAGGCGAUGAUCAGUAGCCGGUCUGAGAGGAUGAACGGCCACAUUGGGACUGAGACACGGCCCAGACUCCUACGGGAGGCAGCAGUGGGGAAUCUUCCGCAAUGGACGAAAGUCUGACGGAGCAACGCCGCGUGAGUGAUGACGGCCUUCGGGUUGUAAAGCUCUGUUAAUCGGGACGAAAGGCCUUCUUGCGAAUAGUAGAAAGGAUGACGGUACCCGAA